CAGCACCUCAAGUGGUCAGGAUGAUUAUUGGGCCUAAAGCAUCCGUAGCCGGCGCUGUAAGUUUUCGGUUAAAUCUGUACGCUCAACGUACAGGCUGCCGGGAAUACUGCAGCGCUAGGGAGUGGGAGAGGUAGACGGUACUCGGUAGGAAGGGGUAAAAUCCUUUGAUCUAUUGAUGACCACCUGUGGCGAAGGCGGUCUACCAGAACACGUCCGACGGUGAGGGACGAAGCCCUGGGGCACAAACCGGAUUAGAUACCCGCGUAGUCC
Molecule: ribosomal RNA, 270 nt
Filed under: uncultured archaeon
Lineage: Archaea
Description: partial 16S ribosomal RNA
Rfam family: Archaeal small subunit ribosomal RNA
Source: RNAcentral